GGGUCAGUAGGUUGGUCGUGCCACCGGUACGUACUGGUCUCACUGAUACCUCCUUCCUGAAGAACCGUAAUGACAUUAAUUUGGUGUUGCGGGGAAACAGGACUGUUACUUUGAAAAAAUUAGAGUGUUUAAAGCAAGCUAACGCUUGAAUACAUUAGCAUGGAAUAAUGAAAUAGGACGAUCGAUCCUAUUUUGUUGGUUUCUAGGAUUGACGUA
Molecule: ribosomal RNA, 216 nt
Filed under: Glomeromycotina sp.
Lineage: Eukaryota; Fungi; Glomeromycota
Description: partial small subunit ribosomal RNA
Rfam family: Eukaryotic small subunit ribosomal RNA (bases 40-216)
Source: RNAcentral